ACGGGAGGCAGCAGUGAGGAAUAUUGGUCAAUGGGCGAGAGCCUGAACCAGCCAAGUAGCGUGAAGGAUGACUGCCCUAUGGGUUGUAAACUUCUUUUGUUCGGGAAUAAAGGAGCCUACGCGUAGGCUUUUGCAUGUACCGUUCGAAUAAGCAUCGGCUAAUUCCGUGCCAGCAGCCGCGGUAAUACGGAAGAUGCGAGCGUUAUCCGGAUUUAUUGGGUUUAAAGGGAGCGUAGGCGGCCUUUUAAGUCAGCGGUCAAAUGUCAGCGCCCAACGCUGGCCUGCCGUUGAUACUGAUGGGCUUGAAUACACACAAGGAAGGUGGAAUUCGUCGUGUAGCGGUGAAAUGCUUAGAUAUCACGAAGAACUCCGAUUGCGAAGGCAGCUGGCGGUACCGUUACCGACGCUCAUGCUCGAAAGUGUGGGUAUCGAACAGGAUUAGAUACCCUGGUA
Molecule: ribosomal RNA, 453 nt
Filed under: uncultured Paraprevotella sp.
Lineage: Bacteria; Pseudomonadati; Bacteroidota; Bacteroidia; Bacteroidales; Prevotellaceae
Description: partial 16S ribosomal RNA
Rfam family: Bacterial small subunit ribosomal RNA
Source: RNAcentral